This 253-nucleotide ribosomal RNA is filed under the name uncultured bacterium. RNAcentral describes it as "partial 16S ribosomal RNA". It matches the Rfam family "Bacterial small subunit ribosomal RNA", at positions 524 to 776 of the family's 1533-position model. The record is from RNAcentral.
GACAGAGGCCCCGAGCGUUAGUCGGAAUUACUGGGCUUAAAGGGUGCGUAGGCGGGCGUGCGCGUGUUCUGUGAAAUCCCCGGGCUCAACCCGGGAACCGCAGGGCAUACGGCACGUCUCGAGGAAGCUAGAGGCCGGCGGAACGAUCGGUGGAGCGGUGGAAUGCGUAGAGAUCGAUCGGAACGCCAAGGGUGAAGACAGCCGGCUGGGGCUUUCCUGACGCUGAGGCACGAAAGCGCGGGGAUCAAACAGG